RNAcentral lists this ribosomal RNA (497 nucleotides) under uncultured bacterium. RNAcentral's name for it is "partial 16S ribosomal RNA". It matches the Rfam family "Bacterial small subunit ribosomal RNA", at positions 28 to 507 of the family's 1533-position model. The record is from RNAcentral.
GAUGAACGCUGGCGGCGUGCCUAAUACAUGCAAGUCGAGCGAACAGACGAGGAGCUUGCUCCUCUGACGUUAGCGGCGGACGGGUGAGUAACACGUGGAUAACCUACCUAUAAGACUGGGAUAACUUCGGGAAACCGGAGCUAAUACCGGAUAAUAUAUUGAACCGCAGGGUUCAAUAGUGAAAGACGGUUUUGCUGUCACUUAUAGAUGGAUCCGCGCCGCAUUAGCUAGUUGGUAAGGUAACGGCUUACCAAGGCAACGAUGCGUAGUCGACCUGAGAGGGUGAUCGGCCACACUGGAACUGAGACACGGUCCAGACUCCUACGGGAGGCAGCAGUAGGGAAUCUUCCGCAAUGGGCGAAAGCCUGACGGAGCCACGCCGCGUGAGUGAUGAAGGUCUUCGGAUCGUAAAACUCUGUUAUUAGGGAAGAACAAAUGUGUAAGUAACUAUGCACGUCUUGACGGUACCUAAUCAGAAAGCCACGGCUAACUACGUG